GUUCGACCACCCCCUUCCCUUUUUCCUUGCAGUUCCGCCACCGCAAAACCACAUCACUGUCGCCUCCUCUCCGGCCUGGUUCCGUGCCUUUGCGCCGCCCAUACCUCCGGUCACCACCUCCCUCUUUUCCUCCCUGCUCCUCCGCGUGCCCUCCUCCCCUGCUUCCCCUGUUCCUUCGUGUUCUGUUUCCCUCAAAGGAAACGAGUUCCAGUAAUUGGAACUUUGUUUUGUUGCUCAAGUUAAGCCCACAUUCCCUUGGCCCAAAUUCCCAAAAAAUCGAACUCGGAGCUCAGGAAUAACGAUCCAUCGAACAGGAAGUAUAAACUACGGUUGAGGUACGAAGAAGAUCAUGGGAUGCCUUAGAGUGAGGAUGCAACCAUCAAAUUCACGAUCGAUGUUUAGUAGAGACAAUUAUGUCAUUAGUAAUAAAGGGAUGUAUUAAUUAAACUCUAAGUUUGAUCUCAUGAUUUGAGUUAGAUUUUAAUACUAAUAUUAA
Molecule: long non-coding RNA, 496 nt
Organism: Spinacia oleracea (spinach)
Lineage: Eukaryota; Viridiplantae; Streptophyta; Magnoliopsida; Caryophyllales; Amaranthaceae
Exons: 3
Source: RefSeq, a predicted model, not a curated record